AAAACGCAACUGAAACAACAAUGAAAAUCUCACCACCAUCAGCUCGUUUCAGCCAUGAAAAGCUGUCACUUCAGCUCCGAAAACGAGUAACCAAAAUCACCAACGAGAUUAUAGAUCUUUGGAUUGAUUUUACAUUAGAAAUAAUUCACCAGCUGUAGUUUUGCUCUUGCAUUUCCGGGUUAUAAGGUAUGUAAAUCACACAUGUAUUUCACCUCUGAAUACGAAUGAGUAUCUGAAUUGAUGUCCCUAUAGAUCAGUUGGAUUUCAUGAAAUCAUGAUGUUUUGACUAUCAAAUCUAAUUAUUGCGGUAUAGAUGUCCAUAUUCGAUCGUGGCAGAGGAUUUGGAAUGAUUGCUUUAAUGAAAAUUAUACAUUAGCUAAUUCAUUGUUGUUGAAGUGUUUUGCCCUAUGGUAAGCAUGUGAGUAUUAGUAUAUUGUCAUGAAGUGUGAUUUAGCAUAUUUUAGUAAGUCCAAACUUUCUUGCAUAUAAGCUUCAAAUUUACCAAUAAUUUAGAAAAAGGAUAUGACAGUCUUCUUAUUAUCUUAAUUCAUCAUAUUCUAUGUUAUUUAUCCUUGUAUCGCAGUAACAUUCCCCAAUUAAACUUUUGUCAGAUAGUAACACUUGAUAAUAACUGGAAGCUUCUCUAGUAUUGGUAUUAAUGGAGAAAUUAAGCUAAUUUUAAAUCUAGAUAUGAGAUUGCCAAUAUAAUUUCUUCUAGAUCUUACUAUUUACGAUUCCACAAGUAUGAGAAGUCGAGAACAAAACGGAGCUUGUGGAGCACCUCAAUUACUUUGGAGGGUUCUAACCUGUUAAUGUUUGUUCUGAUGUUAUUUUUAUUGUGACUUUGUUGGGAUAACUCUGUUCACUUCCUAAGCUCUUAAUUUAUCAUUGUGAUUGUGUACCCAUUCGUGUGGCAUAAUUAUGAUUUUUCAAAAUAAAAUAAAGGUCCGCCGUGCAAAACAAAAUGACAAGUGCAUGGCCCUCGUUUAAUUAAUCUUGUUUAUCCUUAGAAAUCGAGACGUGCCAUCUAGCGAAUUUUCAUGGCCCUCGCAAAGUUGCUAUUGCAUAGUCACUUUAGGUGUGUUAGUUUAAUAAUUCAUCUUCCUAAACUCGGGUGCACAUUUAUGUGACCCAAAUCUAAAUUUCAACAAUGUUAGAUAAAAUGUGUCGAGGAUCGCGGGUGCAUUUAUGUGACGCAGUUCAAGACAUAUUUUAAAUAACUUUGAAUCUUCCUAAAAAAGAGAUAUAAUUAAAUAAAAGCGGGUAUAAAUUUAAAAUUACACCAUAGAUUAGAACAUGUUUAUAAUCAGAUAAUUAGGCCAAUUAUGACUGUUGAGCGACCGUGCUAGAACCAUGGAACUCAGGAAUGCCUAACACCUUCUCUCAUGUUAGAUUUCCUUAGCCGAAUUUCUGGCUCGCAGACUGUAUAACAGAGUCAACCUUUUCGUCGAUUCGGGAUUUAAACCGGUGACUCGGGACACCAUUAAUUAUCCCAAGUGGCAACUCUGAAAUCUUUUAAUAUUAAAUCUCGUUUCGAAUGUCCUUUAAUUCGAAAAAUCCCUUUAUCUACCCCCUUCGCAGGGUGUAGUGAAAAAAAAAAGGUGUGACAGCUCUGGCGACUCUGCUGAGGAUUGAACCCAGAACUUUGGUUCGGAGUUCAAGAAUUCUAGUUUAGAAUAGCUGUUAUGAUUGACUAUAUUUAUUAUCUGAUGUUCCCACAUGUUUGAGCCUAAUAUGCUAAAUGCCUUUACCGCUUUGAUAUUUUGUGAAUUGUAUAUAAAAUUGCUACAAAACCCUUCUCUUCUCAUCUUCGAGGAUGUGUUCGCUGGUCGAGACCCCCUAUUCUAUUAGUGUCAUACCUUGAAAUAAGAAAGAGGCUCGGACAAGUUACAAAUCCAGACGGCCUUUUGGUUCCCGGUACGUAGCCCCCUUCUCGGCUCGAGUUAUCCGCCCGGGUGCAUAAGUCUAGAAAAUAUACACAGGUUUUAUACUUAGAAUAAUUCGGCCUCAUGCAGGAUACCAAGUAGGAACGUUUGUUUGCAUCAUGUGUAUUUGACUUUGGGGACUCAACACAGGGGUUGGGUCCGUUUAGGAAAGAUCAUCCUGAUACAUCUUACGUGUUUUGCGUAUCUGUCUGUUCAGGCUUGUACAUUGACUGGCUUAUAGAAUAGGAAAAGAAAAUGAAAAAAAAAAGAAAGAAGAAAAGAAAAGAGUGAGAUGUAGGUAUUUGAAAUAUCCUGAAACUCUGUUGAAAUUUUGAAAAAUAGAAAAAAGAAAAGUCAUUUCAAAAUGAGCCAUGUUUUUUCUGUUCCGUCAAAAUUAGAGAACUACGCGUGUUUAAUUCUCACCGGAUGUGUGAUACGUAGGCAAACCUUAUCGGUUUCGGUCCUUAAUUUUUAAAAAAUCCAAAAAAAACUCUUACUCCUUGUUUAGAAAAGUUUUUCUUUGAGAUCCAAAUUUUUUUGAAAAAUACAAAUUUUUUUCUUUUAGCUUCAUCUCAAGAUAAAAAAAAAUACAAAAAUAUUUUCAUUCUUCUUUCGAAAAUUGAAAAGAAAAUACAAGAUUCAAAAUACUUUCUUUUUCUUUAGAAGUACUUUUUUCGUAACUUCAGAAUAAAAAUUCAUAAAUGCAAAAAUAUUUUUCUUUCUUCUUUAGAAGUUUUUCUUUCGAAAUUUUAAAAAAAAUCGAAAUUCAAAAAAAAAAAGAAAAAAGUCUUUCUUCUUUAGAAGUCUUUCUUUGCAAAAAUGCUGAAGAAAAUCCAAAAUCCAAAAUCCAAAAUAUAUUCUCUUUCUUCUUUAUAAGUCUUUCUUUUGAAACAAAGUGGAAAAAAAAAAGAAAAUUCGAAAUCUAGAAAAAUAUAAAUUUGGUUUAUUUCCUUUAUUCCUAAUCUUCUCGAACUACUCAGGAUCUUAUUCACGGACGCCAUGAUACGUAGAUAAUCCACAUCAGGUUUGAUCAACCAUGGAAAAGGAAAAUGAGAAAAAUGAAAAAAGAAGAAGAAGAAAAGAAAAACAAAAGUGAAAAUAUUGAUAAUAAUAAGAAAAACAAACCAUUCUAACAUGUCAUUUGUUUUGAAUUGUAAAGAAAGUUUGAGGUGGUCGGUUUGUGGUAAGCAGACAACACAAGAUUCAAGAAAAAAUGAUAACUGACAUCAAAGUUGUUACAAGUGCUCAAGAGACCCAGGGUCAGAGGUUCGACAAGAGUCUACUGUGGUUGAGAAAAAUAGAAUACUGAAACAACAAAUGACCAAAAUGUGUCAAGCAUAGGCCAAUGGCCAAGGAGAACCUUGUCAUGAGUCACAAUCUUCUACACAGCAAGAGCAGCACCGCUCUCCUGAAUACCACUCGUACUCGUUUGAUCUUCAUGCAAACAUUGAGAAGCCUACCCAAAAGAUGGCACAGGAAGAAAUGACCCAAUGCGUGAAAAGCUUAGAACAAUGGUUGAAAAACAUGCAAUGGUUGAGGGGUCAGAAGAGUGUUACCUUCUACGAUCUAUGUAUGUUCCCCGAUGUCCAUUUGGAGCCUGGUUUCAAGACUCCCAAAUUUGAAAAGUAUGAUGGACAUGGAGACCUCAUAGCCCACCUGAAAAGAUAUUCCAAUCAACUGGCAGGUGUUGGAAGAAAUGAAGAAUUGCUAAUAGCUUAUUUUGGGAAAAGCCUUACGGGAGUAGCAUCCGAAUGGUUUGCUGAUCAAGACACCUCUCACUAGCAUGUCUGGGAUAACAUAGCCCCGACCUUUGUCAACCAGUUCCAACACAACAUCGACAUUGCCCCAGACCGCAAUUUCCUUUCAAACCUAGAAAAGAAACUAACUGAAAGUUUCAAGAAACUGCCACUAAAUGGAGAGAUAAAGUGGCUAGAGUUAAUCCACCCAUGGAUGAUCAGGAGCUAAUCAUGGUCUUCCUUCAGGCUCAUGAGCCAGAUUAUUUUCAAAACAUGAUGUCCGCAGUGGGCAAAUCUUUCUCAUAAGUAAUUAAAAUGGGGGAGAUCAGGACACAUCUCGCUGGUAUAUCUGGGAUAACAUGGCGCAGGCCUUUGUCAAACAGUUUCAAUACAACAUUGACAUCGCCCCAGACCGCAUUUCCCUUUCAAACCUAAAGAAGAAACCAAGUGAAAAUUUCAGGGAAUAUGCUAUUAAAUGGAGAGAGCACGCGGCUAGAGCUAAGCCACCCAUGAUUGACCACGUCUAAUCACUGUCUUUUUUCAGGCUCAAGAGCUGGAUUAUUUUCAAAACAUGAUAUCCGAUGUGGGUAAGUCCUUCUCGGAAGUAAUUAAAAUGGGGGAAAUGUUUGAGAAUGGUCUUAAGUCAGGAAAAAUAAUAAGUCAAGCAGUUAUUAGAGUUACAACUCAGGUUGACCAGAUUGAAUCAGAUAAUUUUGGUAAUUUUGGUGACCCGAAUGAGAAGGUUGAAGAAAUCAUGAUGACAUCGGGGCCGAGAAGAGGUCCCAGGAGAACAUCUCGAAGGUAUGAUCAGCCGCUUCAGGUUUUCCACGAUUCUCCUGAGCAAUAUUAUCCACCUCAGAACCCUUAAUACUCUAUUGCUGCACCUCAGUAUGAUGCCCAACCACCAAGACACCCUAGAAGGCAAGCACGAGCGCCACAAAAUCUCUACCAGACUCCACAAAAUUUUCAAGUGCCCCAUGACCCACAUCCAAGUCAGGGGUAUAGAAGGGAACAAAGGUUGAAGGAUAAAUUUACACCAAUAAGAGAGUCCUAUGCAAGCUUAUUUGAGAAGUUAAAGCAUUAUGACAUGAUUCAACCUAUUCUUCAAAUCAUGUAGACCCACGUGCAAGAAGUUUUGAACCUUCCAAAAGGUGUGAAUACCACACAAUGUUGAAAGUUGUUGGAAUUUGAAAAGAGAAAUAGAAAGGAUGAUCCAAUAAAACCUUAUCGUGAUCCAAGACAGUGACACCCGGAGUAUGGCCUAGUAUACUUUACCUGCACAUGACGAUGCACACUUUGUAGGGAUGAUGCCUAGUGAUAUGGAGUAUAAGAAUCCUCUCGGGAAUUUUCCAACUGAAAUGGGAGAAGUCCAUGGUGAUUUUGAUGAUCAAAUUUGUGGCUAAAUGUCAAGCUUAAAAAUAGAAAAGUCAUUCUCUCCUUACUAGUAAGGAAUCUUGGUAGCUUGUUUUGAUGUUUUUCUGCUAUCUGGGUUAUUUUAGGGUUGUGAUCUAGAUUUUAUUUGUUUUAUUAAGUCAAACCCUUCUAUCGUUGUUUUCUAUUUGUAGGAGUCAUGUCUGUAUUUUUUUGUUGCUAUUUUUAUUAUCCGGGUUAUAUAAGAUUUGUAACUUAGAUUUUAGGUUGCUUGUUUAGUUGUCAAACCCUUCCAUCCUUAUUCAAUAAAAUACAGUUUGUCGUUUCGUGUUAUUCUAUUCCUAGUUCUUUUCUUGCUAGUUCUAAUGACAUGACAUGCAUGCAAAAAUUUUGUCCGGAUCUUAGAAACUAAUUUAAUCUGGAAUUGGAUAACUGAAAAAAAUAAUUAAAAUACUUUUGAGGAUGAAUAAAAAGUUGUGAAGAUCGGGCUUCAAAUCAUUGUGAAGAUCGGGCUUGAGGAUGCUUAAUCAAUUGAAGUUUGUUGGAAAGUAAGGGAUGAAAAGUGUCUUGUGACCAUGACACACCAAGAAGUCAGACAUGUUCGUCAAUGCCGUGAUCGCGAAAAGAUACUAUAUUGGGCUUUCUCGAUGUUGGAAGGCCCAUUUUCUGCUAUCCAAACACUUUAUAUACUUUGCUACCCCUUUUGAGCAUGUAUUAUUUUCUUUAACCACCCUCUUUUGGAAUCAAGUUUAGAGCUAAGAUUCAAAAAAAAAAGAAAAAAAAACAAAAAAGAAAAAAAGUCCAUGUCCCAAGAGUACAAACUGGGGCAAUUUUUAGAAAGUUCAAGUGAAAAGAAGAAGAAGAAGAAGAAGAAGAAGAAGAAGAAGAAGAAGAAGAAGAAGAAGAACAGUCAAAAGUCCAUGCCCCUAGAAAAUAGAAGCUGGGGCAAUUUGUAAAAAAAGAGAAAAAAGAAUAAAAAAGAGAAAGAAAGAUGAAAAAUAGUUAGGUUAGAUAUUUGAACUACAUUAGACCUGAUUCCUUUUUAAAAGAGGAUACGUAGACAGCCUCACGGUUCGGUCCAACUUAAUAAGAAUUAAAAAAAAGAGAAAAAUGUUCCAAACAUUCCCAGUAUAUGAAACCAGGGUAGAAAUUUUAUUGCACUUUUGAUAGAGUCGAUUCUAAGAGUUGUAAGUCCACAACCCUUCAUUUUUAGUCUACUUUGAGCCUUCAUGCCGACCCUUCUGUCCAACCCUAUCCAAAACCUUCCAAUUAAAGACCUCCCGAUAUGCCUUCAAGAAUGCCAAGAGAAGCAUGCAACGAGCAAUUGUUAUUACGUGACAAACACUAUUAAGUUUCUCACACAAGAAAGUAAAAGAAAAAAGGAAAAAAAUAAAAAUGAUAUAGUCUUAUUAGUGAAACCCUCAUGUGCACUGUAAGGCGACGGUAAGAAGAGAUGAAUAAAUGAGAUAGACUUAUUGGUGAAAACUCCUCGGGGCACCAUCGGUCGAAAUUGAGUCAUGAAGCUAAUGCAAAGGAUUGACACAAACAAGCCCGACUUCAACGGUCCUAAAAUGGUAAAAGGGAGGAUUGUAUUAGUUUGAUAGAUCAGGCCUUUGAAUCCAAAUGCAUGUCAUGACCAUUAAGGCUAGUUAUCGAAAAAAAUGAAUUUUUUUUUUUUUUUGAAAAAACUCUUCCUUCUGUCCUUCCAACAGGGGGAAUUUCUUGUAAAUAUUCAUUUCAUCCUUGUCAAAACAAGAAAGAAAAGAUUUCAAAAUCUGCUACCUAUUUUUCACUCGUUUCUUUGCAUCACUGUGUCCUUCACUUUGAGUCCAUCCUUGUCAAAACAAGCAAGAAAAGAUUUCAAAAUCUACUAUCAGCUUUUUAAUUGCACAAAGUAGAUUAGUGCAUUCAGCUGUUAGUGUUAGCAUGCCUUGAGGAUUCAUGCAAGGGCUCCCCCAAAACACUCUUGUCGGCCUGCUUGGCGCAAAAAAUAUAACUAGUGAUUCUCUCUGACAGACAAAUCGCUCAAAAGUAGGAAGUCAUUCAAGAUAUAGAAGAGGUCACUUGAGCAAAUAUCUCCAGUUGGGACAAGGCUCAUUGAGCCGCAAAUACAAAUAGUACUGGGUGUAAAACAAUCAAAGGGGUGCGGAGCAAAAGUCUCUUGAGACUAGGGGUGUUCAUCGGGCGGAUUGGGCGGCUUUUACUCUUAACGGUUAUCGGCUUUUAAANNNNNNNNNNNNNNNNNNNNNNNNNNNNNNNNNNNNNNNNNNNNNNNNNNNNNNNNNNNNNNNNNNNNNNNNNNNNNNNNNNNNNNNNNNNNNNNNNNNNNNNNNNNNNNNNNNNNNNNNNNNNNNNNNNNNNNNNNNNNNNNNNNNNNNNNNNNNNNNNNNNNNNNNNNNNNNNNNNNNNNNNNNNNNNNNNNNNNNNNNNNNNNNNNNNNNNNNNNNNNNNNNNNNNNNNNNNNNNNNNNNNNNNNNNNNNNNNNNNNNNNNNNNNNNNNNNNNNNNNNNNNNNNNNNNNNNNNNNNNNNNNNNNNNNNNNNNNNNNNNNNNNNNNNNNNNNNNNNNNNNNNNNNNNNNNNNNNNNNNNNNNNNNNNNNNNNNNNNNNNNNNNNNNNNNNNNNNNNNNNNNNNNNNNNNNNNNNNNNNNNNNNNNNNNNNNNNNNNNNNNNNNNNNNNNNNNNNNNNNNNNNNNNNNNNNNNNNNNNNNNNNNNNNNNNNNNNNNNNNNNNNNNNNNNNNNNNNNNNNNNNNNNNNNNNNNNNNNNNNNNNNNNNNNNNNNGAUUAACCGUUAAGAAAAUUGAAUAAUCCAUCCCCAAACCGAUAAGCCGUUAAUAAAAAAAAUUCAAUCCGUUCCCCGACCGUUAAGCCGUUACCAGUAAGCCGUUAAGCUUCGGUUUGGAUCGGUUUUCGGUUUCGGAUCGAUUUUGAACACCCCCUACUUGAGACCGAUUCAAGUUGAUCGAACAAAAACCAAGCUGCUCAAGACUCAAGGCCAUAGACCGACCACCAUUUUCAAAACUGACAAAUUUUUCUUUGUGUGAAACAAGAACAAAGCAGUGCAAAGAAAGUGGUUCAAAAAACAGAAACAAAAAUAAAAACGAGAAAAAGAGAAGAAAAAGAAAAGAAGAGAAGAGCCGACAAAAGGAAGUUUCUCGAAUCUUUAUCUUUAUUUAUCUUGCUAUUGUUGCCAUUUUACAUUUUUCCUCCUAGGAUAAAAGUCCUAGUCCGAUGGAUUUUUCGCCCAAUUAAACGUCUAAGUCUGAUGAACUUUUCUCCUAAGAUAGACGACCUAGUCUGAUGAAUUUUCUCCCAAGAUUAAAAUCUUAAUUUGAUGAAUCUUUCUCCUAAGAUAGAAAACCUAGUCUGACAAAUUUUCUCCUAGUAUAAAUGUCUUAGUCUGAUGAAUUUUUCUUCUAAGACAAAAGACCUAGUCUGAUGAAUUUUCUCAUAGGAUUAAAUUCUUAGUCUGAUGAAUUUUUCUCCUAAGAUAGAAAACCUAGUCUGAUGAACAUCCUCCUAGGAUUAAAAUCUUAGUCUGAAAAAAUUUUCUUCUAAGAUAGAAAACCUAGUCUGAUGAACUUUCUCCUAGGAUAGAAAUCUUAGUCUGAUGAAUUUUUCUUCUAAGAUGGAAGACCCAGUCUGAUGAAUUUUCUCAUAGGAUCAAAAUCUUAGUUGGAUGAAUCUUUCUCCUAAGAUACCAAAAAGAAAAAAAGGACCUAGUCUGAUGAAUUUUCUCAUAGAAUAAAUGUCUUAGUCUGAUGAAUCUUUUUCCUAAGAUGGAAAAUCUAGUCUGACCAUUUUUUUUCCGAGGAUAAUAAUUAAAAAAAGAAAGGGAAGUAGUUGAAAAAAUGGGGAAGGGUGGAUUUUUUUAUAAAAAAAAAAAAAGAAAGUGUCAAUUUUUAGUUUUAGUGAAAUCAGGGGCCCCGCCUGGACAAUAUGAUCAGUCUUUACUUUAGACAAGCUUAGUUUAUAGUUUUUCGCAAGCUCAAACACUUUUAGGAGAUGCACAUCCUAGUCUAGUUUUUAGUUUACUCUCAUCAUUGCAUCAAUAGUAUAAGUGGUUUACAAUAUUGCUAACAACUCACAAAUCAUCCCAUACAAACUGGGACAGAAAAAUUUCUUUUGUUUUGUCUAUUUUGUUAUAAAACCAGGCGCCCAGCUGGAAAACAAAGGAAAACAACGCAAGUUUAAAGGGAAACAGUUUCGAAGGAAAACAACAUAAGAUUCAAGGGAAAGAAGUUUCGAAGGAAGGCAACUCCAGUUUAAAGGGAAAACAGUUUCGAAGGAAAACAACUCAAGAUUCAAGAGAAUGAAGUUUCAAAGGAAGGCAACUCAAGUUUCAAGGAAAGCAGUUUCGAACGAAGACAACUCAUGUUUCAAGGAAAAGCAAUCAAGCUUCAAAGUAAGUUAGUUUAAGUUUAGCAAUCAGGCGCCCACCUUAAUAACAAGGGAAGUCAUUUCAGAGUUCAAUCCAAGUUAGAAGUAAAGAAGCUCGCAUCAACAAUGCGAGUCAACAGUCCGAGAUGAUCAAUAGAAGUUAGUCACAAUCCGGAAUAAAAAGAAAAAAAUUAAAAAGAGAAGAAGUGAGACCUUAAAAAUAAAGACAAGAAUAAAUAAAACAUAAAUUCAAACACCAACGCAAACUUUUUUAAAUUAAAGUUUAGACUAAGUAUGAACUUAGUCAUAAACUAAAAAUUAUUUAUACAAAGUACCUCAUAAAAGGUAUGAGGACUUAACAUUUUCAAUAAACUCUUAGAAAGACCAAGGGUUACAUCUGUAUACUACCAAAAAGAAAAAAAGGGGGGGGGGGGAUUUAAAUAACAUAAACUUUUUUCAUCAAGAAGUUGAAGGGACUGAAGCAGGACAUCAACAACAGCGGGCUCAGCUUGACUUGAAGGAGUGGGGAUACCCGUAUCAUCUUCAAUUUUACCAGAAGCUUCAGCCAGGGGAGAAGAAAAAACUUGGUUCUGCUGAGUCUUCUCAAUAGUCUCUUUGAUCUUGGCUAACUCAAGACUGCAAGUUAAAGUUCUCCUGGCUAACUUCAACGAGGGUGUUAUUGUAAGAAUUUUAAAAUGCCCAACUCACUUCAGUGGCAGAUUUAUCUUCAAGAAUCUCGUAGUCUUUUUUCCAGUUAACAAUUUCAUUUCUUAAUUCUCAUUUUCAGCCAAUGCAUAUUCAUAAGAAGCUUGAAGAGAAGCAUGAGAAUUUUUGAAGGAGAAAACUUUAUCAGAGGAUACCUGGAGGUCUUCUUGAGUUUGGGUCAAAGUCUGCACAAGUUCACCAGCAUAUGCUUCUUUUUUAUCUAAGAGAGCUUUCAACUCUCUGAUCUCUUCACUUGCCUUGGAGAGUUGCUCAGAAAAUAAGGUUUCAAGACAAUCUUUUUCUUUACUUGCUUGACUUGAGGAGGCUUUUCAAUUGCCAAUUCUGAAUACAAAGCCAUUUCCUGCUGCUCUAAGGUACUUUUACUUUCUUCUAAUGUUUAAAAAAAGGGAUACCUUUAAACAAGCAUGCACGAUAUCUUUCAUCAUGAUCAAGGAACUGUGACUAUCAAACUUAGCUCUCUCAAUUUAACGAAUCAAAGGCUUUAGCCACACAUCAGCUUGACCCAAUUUCUUCAAAAGAUUACCCUCAACGGGAACUUCAAUGGCAACUUGCCUCAUAUCCUCACCUCUACUUGAGGACUCAACUUCGGGGUAAGGAACAGUUGAGCAAGGAGCAGUAGAAGCAGUUAAAACAGCUUGGGGAUAAACAGUAACAGCCACGACCGGCAAAAGAAGGAAUCACAAGAACGGGAGCAAAAAAAGAAUCUAGGGGUGCUUCAUUAGAAACCGCACCUAAGCUUUCACUUCCAAACCCGAGGUUAAAAAGAUGCUCAAUAGAAUCAUGAGCAGCAUCAGGAGUAUCAUCAGCAUCAUCAUCAGGAAUUAUCACCGGGGCUUCAACAGACUCAGUAAGAGGAAUAGGACGAGGGGAAGAGGCUUCAUCAUCAGAAAUGAUCCGUCUACGAGCUUGUGGUCUCGUUACCAAGGAACCCUCAUCUUUCUCUUCUUCAGAGUCUUGGUCAUCGGUAGAUUUUCUUUAAGACGAAGAACCUAAAAUAUUUCGUGGGCCCUUUCCAAGGAAUGCAAUAAGUUAUGAGCACCUCGGCACUAAUACCUCAAACAUCAAAUCCUAAUAGAAAUAAUGAUUAAAAUAAGUUUUAAAAAAACAAAAAUAUAAAAAAAAACUCCUACCAUGAGUUUUUACUUUCCAACCAAAUCGUUGGGACAGAGUCUUCCAAGAUCUACCCUCCAUUGGGGCAGUAUUCAACAACUUUCCUAUCCAACCACGGAAAUUAGAAAUUUCAUUAACAAUUCCCAUGGUUGCCGCAAAUGAAAAGGAAAAUUAUAAUAAUGAUCAUCAAAAUUAAGGAAAAAGGACACAGGAAAGUUAUUAGAAAGAAAACUCACGUACAGAAUUUCACUUCUUUGGGAAGGGAACAGUUUCUUCAUCCACUAAACCACCAGUGGGGGCAGCAAUAAAUCGGGCGUACCAGCUACGGUCUAUAUCAUGUUCAGAAUUAACUAAAACUCUUUUGCUCCUUGGCACUAAAGUAAAAACAUCCUGGCGAAAGAGGCUAGGAGAGUAUAGAUGAAUUAAAUGGGAAAAGCUGAAAGACACACCAGCCAUGUUAGUCAAAUGCCUUAGACAUGCAAUAAUCCUCCACACUAUGGGGCCUAAUUGACCUAAACAGACGUCAAAAAAUUGACAAAAUUCAAGGAUAACAGGGUCAAUAGCAAGUCUGAAACCUAAUGUGAAAGGGUAUGUUUAAAUAAAAGAAAACCCCAUGAAAUAAGAGGUGAUUCUCUAGUUUGCAUUAGAAAUUAUAAAAGGGAAAUCAUAAUCCCAGUGGCAAUCUCUACGAAUCAAAAAAGUCAGACCUUCGGUGAUCUGAGUGGGAUAGAUAUCAGCACGGUUUAAAGAAGACACUUGAUUUCUAAGAGACUCUCUAUUAUUAAAGAAAGAUAGUUCCGCAAGAACUAUUUCUUCCACAAAGGGUUCAUGAAGAGGUUCAGAGGGUUCUUUAUCUCUAGAAGAAGACCUAUGAGAAAGAGAACCUCUGGUUCUAGAAGAAGGACUGGAACUAGAUGAAGGAAGAGAAGAACCUUGUCAGGAUGAAGAACCUAAAUUGCGUAGUCUACCUCCUCUUCUACUCCUACUAGGGGUAAGAGGAAGAUUAUCAACUAUGGAUUCUCUCCUAGGGUUAGGGUUUGGUGAAGACAUGGCAGUACAAGGAAGAUGAAGAACGAGAAUAGAAUAUUCUAAAAGUUUUACGAGGAAGAUAAAAAUAAGAAUUGAAUAUUCUGAAAACUUUGAACUUUAUGAGAAAAAGACAGAGAUGAAAACUAUGUUUAUAAUAGGAAGCACCUGUUAAAAGAGAAGGUGCAAUGAUGGAAAAGUCAUAAUGAAAGUUGUCGCUUCGUAAUUACUAAAGCCGUAAAAAAGCCUUAAAACGGUGCAAAGUCGCAGAACCAACAUAAAUAUGAUACACGUGUAAUAAGCAUUAAAUAAAAGUGACAGUUGAAGCGGUGAUUCUAUAAUAGCAUUAAUGGCGGCAAAAAUUCCACUUUAAUAAAAUCCACUUCCCAAAUAUUCAAUUGAUGAAUAAAUGGAAAGUGGGGGACUAUCUGUAUUGGGAAAAUUGAGUUUACACAUAUUGAAGUGAUUCAAAGAUGACACAUCAUGAUAUAAAGACUGGUCAAAUAAUGAUGAUUAGCAAAGAGACACGGGUUGCAACAGAUAAAAGCAUAGGCACGAGCAAAAGCACGAGUAGAAUCGACUCUCGUAUCUAUUUAAACCAAAGAGUUAAGGGGAAUGAAUAUGAUAGCACAAGAAAGUACAUAUACAGUGAGCAUUAAAUACUGAAAACGUUAGGGAAUAUGUAUUAAAUUAUAAUGAUUAUGUAACAUAGAAUUUAAUGCCUUUAAUGGUCUAUAAUGGCCCAAUUAUGACAAAGGCAAAGUAUAUAUCUUAGAGAUAGCUAUAAAAUAAGGAGACUGGUCAUUUGUAAGGACACAAAACUCUAUUGGAAUACACUUAUUCACUUUGCUUUCUAUUCAUCUUUUUAUUUGCAAAAUCAAUUUCUUUUAUUCAUUUUCGAGUAUCAGUAAUUCGAGUUCUUCUAAAAAUAAAGCUUUGAUCAAAAUUCUUUUUUGUUUGAAAAUGCUAUUGUAAACAAUGAAUGAGCCUUCAAAAUCUUCUUUUGGUAAUUGUUGUUGUAUUUCACUAUUUGAAUAUUUAUUCGAAUUUUUGAGAGGCGAUUCAACCGCUUGUUUGUUGAGAAUUUUUGAAAUUCCAUUGGUUCUCUUGCGAAGAACGAAUUUAGUGGUUUUAAAUCUAGUAUUAUAACUGAGCGGGGUAUUGAAAUUUAGACUUGAAAAUGCAAUAAAUAUUUGUGUUUGAGGAUCAAAACUGGACGGACAAACAGAGACACCAUUAAAGCUUGCUUGAAGCUUCUGGGCAUGUGUGGUUCGAAGAUUUCAAUUUUAAGGCUCUUUAUGUUUCGGAUUCCCCCGCUUUGGUCCAUCUGUAUAAGGCAUCUCCUUGCCAUAAUGGGAUUGUGUUUAAAUCCCAAUGCAACUUAGUUAUGGACUGUGGAUUUUCAUUUACCUAUGCAUCACCCGUGUUUCAAAAUUUCAAAUUGUUACGGAGUGAAAAGGAUUGAUCUUGGUGGGAAAGCUUUGAGAAAUUUCAUGGAGUUAGUGAGUUACAGGAGCGUCAAUUUGAUGGACGAGAAUUUCCUUAUGGAUGAUGUAAAAGAGAAACUCUGCUUUGUGUUGCUAUGGACUUGCAGAUUGCUACGAUUUUCUAAAAGAUCCUAUUUUUAAAUAGUUUAUUUUUCUAUGUGGAUCUAGUAAUGAAGUGGCGUCCUACGUGCAGAAGAUUGUAUUACACGCACCGGUAACCUCAUGUAAGAGGGAUUUAUUAUAUACGAUUUGAAUUAGUGUAAGUGUUCAAUUGGAAAAAUGAUAAGUUUGGGGGCCAGCAUGACAAAGUGGCACAAGUAUAAGUGUCAUUUAGGCUAAUCUUCCUUUAAAUUUCAUUUUAACUUAGUGUAGUUUAUUAGUUCAAUAAAAUGCAGUAAAUCCACAUCUAUAUCUAAAGUCAAAAGUCAAUAUUAACUAUCCUCACAUAAUAAGCAAAGUUACUAGGAGCUAAGACCCCGUCUUGGUACCAUUUGAGUGUAAUCAAUUUAAAAAAUAUUGUUCUACAAACAAACAAGGGACAAAAUAAAUCGACUUCCACAUAUAACAAACGAAAUUAAAGAAAUAUAGAAAUAUAAAAGUGGAGACAAAGACAAGAACAUAUUACAUUGUUGAAAUCAAUGGUAUUACAAUAAUUACUUAAACCCUAACUUUACUCACAAUUUACAGACACAAAGUAAAUCUUUUAUAAAAAAACUCCCCGUAAAGGCAACAACACGACAACUUCACAGUAAUAUCGAUAAUGACAGAAUAUUCUGUGACGACCCGAAGGGGUCAUCACUUAUUUUCUUACUUAUUCUGUACGUAUGAUGCCUUGAAUUCUCAUUUGAGGUUUCCUCGAUUUGCAUGCACAGUCCUGGCGCGUAGCCGGAAAGAUUAGAUAUUAAUUCUGUGAGAAAAAUGCUAAAAUUUGAUAUUAAAUUGAAUAAAUUUGAUUUCGGUCGAUAUUUUGGGUAACCCAACCCGGACUCGUGAUUUGACGGUCCCGGAGGGUCCGUAGGAAAUAUGGGCCUUGGAAUGCUAAAAUUUGAUAUUAAAUUGAAUAAAUUUGAUUUCGGUCGAUAUUUUAGGUAACCCAACCCGGACUCGUGAUUUGACGGUCCCGGAGGGUCCGUAGGAAAUAUGGGCCUUGGGCAUAUGCAGGGAAACGAAUUCCGAGGUCCCAAGCCCGAGAAAUAAAUUUUUGCGUGAAAUUAUUUUCUGAAAAUAAUUAAGGAAAUUGGAAGUGGAAUUGAUUAAAAGAUUAUGGUAUCGGGCCAGUAUUUUGGUUUCAGUGCUUGGUACAAGUCUUAUAUAUGGUUUAAGCGCUUUCUGAAAAGUUUGGUUAAAAAGGACGUCGUUUGAUAUGUUUCGGACUUAAAAUGGAAAUUUGAUGUUUUAUGAAAACUUGGAAGAAAUUAUAAGUUUUGAGGCUUAAUUCGAUGUGAUGUUAUUUUGGCGAUUUGAUCGUACGGAUAAGUCUGUAGGAUGCUUUUGAGGUUGUGGGAUAUUUGGUUUGGACCCCCGAAGGCUCGAGUGAGCUUUGGAUAGGUGUCGGAGUGCAUUUUGAACUUGGAAAAGUUUAUGCUAUAACUGACCUGCAGGGUUCGCAAUUGGGAAGCCUAGCUCGCAAAUGCGAAGUCACAAUUGCGAAGGGUUAGCUCGCAAAUGCGAGGCCCUUAAUUCUUGGCAUAGUUCGCAAAUGCAAACUAUACCCUCGCAAAUGCAAUGGCGAGGUCAUCGCAAAUGUGCUCUUAUGGUUCGCAAAUGUGAACCUCCCAGUUUUCCCCAUAGUUCGCAAAUGCGAACAAGAGUCUCGCAAUUCCAAAGUUAGCAGGGUCGAGGUUCGUAAUUGUGAACCCCUUUUCGCAAUUGCGACAUUUGCAACCUACAAUUUUUAUACUUAGUCGAAUUUUGGACAUUUUCAAGAACAAGACCUUUUCCAAAUCGUUUGUCAGUUGGUUUUUACUUAUUUAUUUCAAUCUUUAACAUGUUUUUAACUUAAAAUCAAUGAUUUUCAUGGGUAAAACUGGAUGUUUGCGGUAGAACCUAGGUUUUUCGAAAAUUGAGAAUUUGGACCUCAAUUUGAGGUUCGAUUUAAAAAAAAUCAUAUAUUUGGGUUUACGGGGAAAUGGGUAAACGGAUUUUGGUUCAAACCUCGGAUUUUGACCAUAUGGGCCUGAGGGGAAUUUUGGUCAUUUUACCUAAAUUUGCGUCUUUGCUUUAAAUUGAAUAUAAGAAUCUAUUGCUUGAGAUGUUAUUUACGAUAUGUAAUUGAAUUGAAUAGAUUUGGGCCAUUUGGAGUCGGAUAUUCGUGGAAAAAGUGUGAUUUCAAGUUGAAUUUGGAUAAGUAGCUUGUCUAACCUUGUAUGGGGGACCUUUCCCCUAAGAUAUGUUAUUUGGUAAUUGAGUGCCUUGUACGUGAGGUGACGAGCACGUACUUGAGUAAAUAGUUGAAAAUCCAGUUUUUACUUAAGAUAUUAAGACUGAGUUUAUUUCAUACUUGAUUUAUCUUACUUGCAAUUAUAACCUAUGUUAGAUUAGAAAGACAUGUUUAGUUGAUUUAACUUGCCGACUUUCUUAAAUUGCCUUAACUGCACUACGUGAGACAUGUUAGGUUAGAACUAUCUGUUGCUUGUAUUGUUGUACUUUAUUUCUGAAUAUUCUCUGAUUGUGGUUGCACAUUUAUAUUUGGGACUACAGGUUAGAUUCCCGGGAGACUUCCCUGCACAUUUAUAUUUGGGACUACGAUUUAGAUUACCGGGAGAUCCCUCUGCAUAUUUACUUUGAGACUACAGGUUAGACUCUCGGGAGAUCCCCUGCACUUCUAUAUUAUGGACUACAGGGCGAUAUCCUGGGAGAUCCUUGUUAUUGGUAUUGACAUGGAAAUAGACUACAAGACGAUAUCCUGGGAAAUCCUCAUUAUUGGUAUUGAUAUGGAAAUGGACUACAAGACGGUAUACUGGGAGAUCUUUGUUCUUGGUAUUGACAUGGAAAUGGAUUACAGAAUGGUAUUCUGGGAGAUCCUCGUUAUUGGUAUUGACAUGGAAAUGUACUACAAGACGGUAUCCUGCGCGAUCCUCUUUGUUGGUAUUGACAUGGAAAUGGACUACAAGACUGUAUCCUGGGAGAUCCUCGUAAUCGGUGCUGACAUUGAGCUGUCUUACUCUGUGUUAUCUUGUCCUCUGUGUGUUGAUUGUUGUUUGUGUAAUCUGACUUAAUUCACAGUCGUAUUCCAUUUGCUAGGAUUUUUAUUAUAUUGUUUAAUCUUAGUAGGGCCCUGACUUUCCUCUUCACUACCCGACCGAGGUUAGGCUUAGCACUUACUAAGUACUGUUACAGUGUCCUCAUGACUCUUAUGUGCAUGUUUUUCAUGUGAAGAUCCAGAUACUUCAUCACAUGCGCACUAUCCUUGAGGCCAGGAGAGCUACCUUGAGGUACUUCUACAGCGUCCGCACACCCAUGAGUCUCCUUUCUUUACUCUAUUUGUAGUAUUUGGACUUAUUUCAUACUUUUGCUUUAGAUAUUCUAGAGUUAGAACCAUGUAUUACUUUUCGUUAGCUUGUGUUCCUGUGAGUUUCUGGGUUUUGGGGUGUUAUUGUAAACUUCCGCAUUUUUGAGUUGUAUAUGCCAAGUGGCACUUAUAUACCAUUUUCUUCUAGUUUUGCUUAAUUUAAUUAAGUGUUUCCGCAAGGUAUAUAAAUUUCUGCAUAGUUAGGCUUACCUAGUUAUAGGAACUAGGUGCCAUCACGACAUGUUCAUGGAGGGUGAAUUGGGGUCGUGACAAGUUGGUAUUAGAGCUCAAGGUUCAUAGGAGUCAUAGAACACAAGCCGGUUUAUUAGAGUCUCAUUGAUCGGUAUGGAGACGUUUGUACUUAUCUACGAGAGGCUAUAUAACUUUUUAGGAAAAAUCUUCACUCCAUUGAUUUCCUUGUCGUGCGAUAUUUUUGAUAUCAAAUAUAAACUUCUAUCUUUUUUCUCUCACAGAUGGUGAUGACACACACUACUCAGGAUGAUCAAGCACCCGCGCCCCCUAUUGCAGCCGUCAGAGGUCGGGGCCGGGAUAGAGGUCGAGGACGUGCACGUGGUACAACCAGAGCACCUGCGCGAGCUGCCACCGAGGCACCACCAGGAGAUCCAGUCGGAGCCCAUGAACCUGGCACGUCUACUACUGCCACUACUACUCCAGCCCUUCAGGAGACGUUGGCUCAAUUCAUGUCUAUGUACACCACCUUGGCUCAAGCAGGGUUGCUUUCCCUCGCUGCAGCCACAUCCCAGGUCGGGGGAGGAGCGAAGAAUCCCUCCAUCUGCACUCCUCAGCAGCGAGUGUAGGUUGAUCAGGUCCUAAAGAUCAUUCAUGUUCCGCCUGCAGUGCCAGUUUAGCCCUUGGAUGGGGCAGCUACUUCUGAGGACGAGCAACGAAGGUUGGAGAGGUUCAAGAAGUAUGAUCCUUCGAUUUUUAGUGGAUUAGUGACAGAUGAUGCCUUGAGAUUUCUAGAGGAGUUCCACCGUAUUUUAUGCCCUAUGGGCAUAGUAGAGUCCAUCGGGUUUCCUUCACUGCUUUUUAGCUCCGGGGAGCCGCUUAUGAUUAGUGGCAUACUUAUGAUAUAGAUAGCCCAUUCGAGGCUGCUUCAGUGACUUGAACCCAGUUCUCGGAGAUGUUUGUGAAAGAGUUUAUCCCAGAGUCUCAGACACGCAUGGCACACAGAAUUUGAGCAUUUGCGCCAUGGUGCUAUGACCGUUUCAAAGUAUGCUAUACGUUAUACUAGAUUGGCCAGGCAUGCACCGACUUUGCUUUCUAUAGUCCGCGAGAGAGUUCGCAGGUUCAUUAAGGGUCUUAUCCCACCUAUCAGAUCAAGCAUAGCUCGAGUGUUAGAGAUGGACAUUCCUUUAUCAGCAGGUAGUGAGAAUUUCUAGGAGGAUCGAGAGUAUGCACGCUAGGGGCGAGAGGAAAGGGAGGCCAAUAGGUCUCGAGAGUCGAGCCACUAUUUUGGUGCCUGUACCCCAGCAGCAGGUCGAUAUGCUAUGGGUUUUGUGGGUCGCCCCGUUUAUUCAGCUCUUCCAACAUCGAGAAGUGCUCCAGCUCCACCUAUACCUCAGGAACCUUACUAUGCACCUCCGGUUUCUAACGCACCUCCUGCGCGGGGUGUUCCAAAGGUUAGUAUAUAAGACCUAGCCCUAGUCAGUCAUAGCCACCGUGCCCUCCCAAAGCUUGCUUCGAGUGUGGUGAUACACGCCAUAUGGUUAGGGACAGCCUUAGACAUGGUAGGGGUGUAUCUUUACAGACUGUUCAGCCAUACCAUGCCCCGCAUAGCUCUCACACUAUGGUUACAGCCCCAGUUUCCGCCCCACCCACUCAGACAGCUAGAGGUGGAGGGCGAUGAGGUAGAGGUUUUCUCUCGAGGGGAGGCCAGGCCAGAUAUUAUGCCCUUCCUGCUCGUGCCGAGGUUGUUUCCUCUGAUUCUGUUAUCACUGGUAUUAUAUUGGUCUUCCAUAGAAAGGCAUCGGUUCCAUUCGAUCCGGGCUCUACUUAUUCUUAUGUGUCUUCUUACUUUGCUUCGCAUUUGGGUGUCUCUCGGGAUUCUAAACGGGGGCAUUUGAGUGCCCCCGUUUAUGUUUCUACUCUUGUGGGAGAUUCCCUUGUUGUGGACCGCAUUUACAUGUUUAGUUACGAUUCUUGGUUUUGAGACCAAGGCAGAUUUAUUGUUACUCAACAUGGUUGGUUUUGAUAUUAUCUUGGGCAUGGAUUGGUUGUCGCCCCAUUAUUCUAUUCUUGAUUGUCACGCUAAGACUGUGAUGCUGGCUAUGUCAAGUAUUUCGUAUUGAGUCGAGUGGCAUUUUAGAUCACACUCCUAAUAGAGUUAUCUCUUUCCUUAAAGCUCAUCGUAUGGUUGAGAAGGGGUGCAUAGCGUAUUUAGCCUAUGUGAGGGAGGUCAGUGUGGAUACCCCUUCUGUUGAUUCUGUCCCAGUGGUACGGGAUUUUCCCGAUAUGUUUCAAGCUGAUCUUCUGGGCAUGCCGCCUGACAGAGACAUCAAUUAUGGCAUUGAUUUGUUACCAGGCACUCAGCCCAUUUCCAUUCCCCUAUAUCAUAUGGCUCCUCCUGAGUUGAAGGAACAGUUACAGGAAUUGCUUGAUGAGGGUUUUAUUCGACCCAGUGUUUCACCAUUGGGUGCUCCUGUCUUGUUUGUGAAGAAGAAGAAGGAUGGUUACAUGCCUAUGUGUAUUGAUUAUCUCUAGUUGAACAAGGUUACGGUGAAGAAACAUUAUCCUUUGCCUCGUAUUGAUGAUCUAUUUGACCAGCUUCAAGGCGCACAUGUGUUUUCUAAGAUUGACUUGCGCUCAGGUUACCGUCAGUUGAAGAUUCCGGAGCCAGACAUCUCGAAGACUGCCUUCAGGACUCGGUAUGGUCAUUACGAGUUCCUUGUUAUGUCCUUUGGACUGACCAAUGCCCCGGCAAUUUUUAUGCAUUUGAUGCAUAGUGUACUAAGGCCAUAUCUCGACUCAUUCAUUAUUGUUUUUAUUGAUGAUAUUCUGGUGUAUUCCGGGAGUCGUGAAGAUCAUAAGCAGCACCUGAGGGCCGUGCUUCAAACCCUGAGGGAGAAGAAGUUAUAUGGGAAGUUCUCAAAAUGUGAGUUGUGGUGUAUUUAGUGGAGUUCUUAGACCAUGUGGUUUGGAGUGAGGGAAUUUGGGUAGAUCCGAGGAAGAUAGAGUCGUGCAUAGUUGGCCCAAGCCAUACUCAGCCAUAGAGAUUCAUAGUUUCCUUGUUUUGGCGGGUUACUACCGUCGUUUUGUGGAAGGGUUUUCAUCACUUGCAUCCCCUAUGACUAGGUUUACGCAGAAGGGUUCUCCAUUUCAGUGGACAGAGGAGUGUGAGGUGAGCUUUCAGAAGCUCAAUACACCUUUGACUACAACCCCUAUUCUCAUAUUGUCUGCUGGUUCGGGAUCUUAUAUAGUUUAUUGUGAUGCCUCACAGGUUGGCCUUGGAGUGGUGUUGAUGCAGGACGGUAGGGUGAUUGCCUACGCGUCCAGACAGUUGAAGAUACAUAAGAAGAAUUACCCCGUCCACGAUCUUGAGUUAGCCGCUAUUGUGACGAUCCAAAGGGUCAUCACUUGUUUUAUUUGUUAUUUUGAGCUUCAGAGGUCUUGAAAACCUCACUAUUAGUUGCCUCGGUUUGCGUCACGGUUCGGGCGCUAAGACGGAAAAUUUAAUGUUGAUAUAGUAUGGUGUGCCUUGUGAGAUUUAUACUGAUCAUAGGAGUUUUCAGCAUUUGUUCAAGGAGAAGGAUCUAAAUUUGCGCUAGAGGAGGUGGUUAGAGUUGCUAAAGGAUUAUGAUAUCACUGUUCUGUAUCACCUGGGCAAGGCCAAUGUGGUAGCAUAUGCGUUGAGUUGCCGGGCGGAGAGUUUGGGGAGUUUGGCUUAUUUACCAGCCUUAGACAGACCUAUGGCGAUGGAUGUUAAGGCCUUAGCUAGUCAGUUUGUGAGAUUGGAUAUUUCAAAUCCUAGUCGGUUUCUAGACUGCAUGGUUUCUCGGUCUUCAUUGUUCGAUCAUAUCAUGGUAUCAUGGAGUGGCAGUAUGAUGACCCUCAUUUAUGUAUCCUCAAACACACAGUUCAGCACGGCUAUUCCAGAGAGGUGACCAUUGGAGAUGACUGGGUAUUGAGGAUGCAGGGUAGGAUUUGUGUGCCCAGUGUCGAUGUGCUUCGGGAGUUGAUUCUAGCAGAGGCCUAUAGUUCGCGAUAUUCCAUCCACCCGGGUGCUGCGAAGAUGUAUCAGGACUUGAAACAACACUAUUGGUGGAGGAGGAUGAAGAAGAAUAUAGUUGGAUAUGUAGCUAGAUGUCUCAACUGUUAGCAGGUGAAGUAUGAGCACCAGAGACCAGAUGGGUUGCUUCAGCAAAUAGAUAUUCCGGAGUGGAAAUGGGUGAGGAUCACCAUGGAUUUUGUGGUUGGUCUCCCUCGGGCUGCGAAGAAGUUCGAUUCCAUUUGGGUGAUUGUGCAUCGGCUGACCAAGUACGCUCAUUUUAUCCUUGUGUGUAGUACCUAUUUAUCAUAGCGGUUGGCGAAGAUUAAUAUCCGGAAGAUUGUUCGUCUACAUGGUAUUUCUAUCAUUUUGGAUAGAGGUACUCAGUUCACAUCACGGUUCUGGAGAGCCGUUCAGCAGGGGUUGGGUACUCAGUGGAGUUGAGAAAGGCAUUUCACCCCCAGACAGACGGAUAGUCCGAGCGUACUAUUUAGAUUCUAGAGGAUAUACUUCGCGCAUGUCUAAUUGAGUUUGGAGGGUCUUGGGAUCAGUUCUUGCUAUUGGCGAAGUUUGCCUAUAACAACAAUUAUCAGUCCAACAUUCAGAUGGCGUCGUAUGAGGCUUUAUAUGGUAGGAGGUUCAAGUCUCUGAUGGGUUGGUUUGAGCCGAGUGAGGCCCGACUAUUGGGUACAGAGUUGGUUCAAUUCAAGAUGCAUUGGAGAAGGCUAAGGUGAUUCAGUAUAGACUCCAUACAGCCCAAUCUAGACAGAAGAGUUACGCGAACAAGAAGGUUUGUGAUGUAUCAUAUAUGGUCGGAGAGCGGGUUCUGCUUCGGGUCUCGCCUAUGAAGCGCGUUAUGAGAUUUGGGAAGAAAGGGAAGUUGAGUCCGAGGUUCAUUGGCAUUUUUGAGGUUUUGAGAUGUGUUGGGGAGGUUGCUUAUGAGCUUACCUUACCUCCCAGUUUGGCCGGGGUUCAUCCGGUAUUUCAUGUUUUGAUGCUCCGGAGAUAUCACAGUGACCCCUCGAACAUAUUGGAUUUCAGCUCAUCCCAGUUGGACAAUGAUCUAUCCUAUGUUGAGGAGCCAGUGGCUAUAUUGGACAGGCAGGUCAGAAAGUUGAGCGGGAUAUGCGAAGCCGUUAUCCUCAUCUUUUUCCAGACUCAGGUACUUCUUUCUUUUGUCCGUUCAAGGACGAAUGGUUGUUUUUAGUGGUGGAGGAUGUGACGGCCCAAAGGGGUCAUCACUUGUUUUCUUACCUAUUUUAUACUUUUUAGGCCUUGAAUACCUUAUAUGGGGUUGCCUCAAUUUGCAUGCGUAGUCCGGGCGCGUAGCCUGAAAGCUUAGAUAUGGAUUCUAUUAGAAAAAUGCUAAAAUUUGAUAUUAAAUUGAAUAAAUUUGACUUCGGUCAACAUUUUGGGUAAACCAACCCGGUCUCGUGAUUUGACGGUCCUAAAGGGUAUGUAGGAAAAUAUAGAACUUGGGUGUAUGCCCAGAAUCAAAUUUCGAGGUCCCAAGCCCGAGAAAUGAAUUUUUGCGUGACAUCCUUUUCUGGAAAUAAUUAAGGAAAUUGGAAGUGAAAUUGAUUAAAAGAUUAUGGUAUCAUGCCCGUAUUUUGGUUCUAGUGCCCGGUACAAGUCUUAUAUAUGGUUUAAGCACUUUCUGUAAAGUUUGGUUGAAAACGGACGUCGUUUGAUGUGUUUCGCACUUAAAAUUAAAAAUUUGAUGUUUCAUGAAAACUUGGAAGAAAUUAUGAGUUUUGAGGCUUAAUCCAAUAUAUAUGAUGUUAUUUUGGCGAUUUGAGAUAAGUCCGUUGAAUGUUUUUGAGGUUGUGUGUAUAUUUGGUUUGGACCCCUGAAGGCUCGGGUGAGUUUUAGAUAGGUGUCAAAGUGCAUUUUGAACUUGGAAAAUUUGCUGCUAUUACUGACUUGCAGGCUUCGCUAUUGCAAAGCCUGGCUCUCAAAUGCGAGGUCGCAAUUGUGAAGGGUCAGCUCGCAAAUGCGAGGCCCUUAAUUCCUGGCAAAGUUCGCAAAUUCGAAACUAUACCCUCGCAAAUGCGAUGGUGAGGUCAUUGCAAAUGCGACCUUAUGGUUCGCAAAUGCGAACCUCCCAAUUCUCCGCAAAGUUUGCAAAUGCGAACAAGAGUCUCGCAAUUUCCAAGUUAGCAGGGUCGGGUUAGCAAUUGAGAACCCAUGUUCUCAAUUGCGACAUCUACAACCUGCAAUUUUUAUACUUAGUCGAAUUUUGAAUAUUUUCAUCCCAUUUCAAAACGCAACUCAUUUGGGCGAUUUUCCAAGAACAAGACCUUUUCCAAAUCAUUUGUAAGUUGGUUUUUACUUAUUUCUUUCAAUCUUUAACAUCAUUUAACAUGNNNNNNNNNNNNNNNNNNNNNNNNNNNNNNNNNNNNNNNNNNNNNNNNNNNNNNNNNNNNNNNNNNNNNNNNNNNNNNNNNNNNNNNNNNNNNNNNNNNNNNNNNNNNNNNNNNNNNNNNNNNNNNNNNNNNNNNNNNNNNNNNNNNNNNNNNNNNNNNNNNNNNNNNNNNNNNNNNNNNNNNNNNNNNNNNNNNNNNNNNNNNNNNNNNNNNNNNNNNNNNCUUGACUUCAUUGUUUGUCAUUCAUCAAAACCUAUACCUGAAAAUCAUGCUCAUACAACCAAAGCGCACAUAUCAAAGGUAUACAUGAUUUCCAACAAUAUUUGGGUUCGUGGGGGAAUCGGUAAACGGAAUUUGGUUCGAACCUCGGGUUUUGACCACGUGGUCCUGAAGGGAGGUUUGGUUAUUUUACCCAAAUUUGCGUCUUAGCUUUAAAUUGAAUAGUAGAAUCUAUUGCUUAAGGUGUUAUUUGCGAUAUGUAAUUGAAUUUAAUAGAUUUGGGCCAUUUGGAGUCGAAUACUCAUGGCAAAAGUGUGAUUCCAAGUUGAAUUUGGAGCCGGUUUGAGGUGAGUGGCUUGUCUAAUCUUGCGUGGGGGACCUUUCCUCUAGGAUAUGUUAUUUGGUAAUUGAGUGCCUUGUAGUUGAGGUGACGAGCACGUACUUGAGCUAAUCGUUGAAAAAUACAAUUUUUACUUAAGAUAUUGAGACUGAAUUUCUUUCGUACUUACUUUAUCUUACUUGCAAUUAUAACCCGUGUUGGAUUAGAAAGACGUAUUUAGUUGAUUUAACUUGCCUACUUGCUUAAAUUGCCUUAGCUGCACUACGUGAGACAUGUUAGGAUAGAACUAUAUGUUGCUUGUAUUGUUGUACUUCAUUUAUGAAUAUUAUCUAAUUGUAGUUGCGCAUUUAUAUUUGGGACUACGGGUUAGAUUCCCGGGAGAUCCCCCCGCAAGUUUUUGGGACUAUGGGUUAGAUUCCCGAGAGAUCCCCUUGCACAUUUAUAUUUCGGACUACGGGUUAGAUUUCUGGGAGAUACCCCUGCAAAUUUAUAUUCCGGACUACAUGACGAUAUCCUAGGAGAUCCUCGUUAUUGGUAUUGAUAUAGAAAUGGACUACAAGACGGUAUCCUGGGAGAUCCUCGUUGUUGGCGUUGACAUGGAAAUGGACUACAUGACAGUAUCCUGGGAGAUCCUCGUAAUCGGUGCUGACAUUGAGUUGUCUUACUCUGUGUUAUCUUACCCUUGAUGUGUUGAUUGUUGUUUGUGUAAUAUUACUUAAUUCACAAUUGUAUUCCAUUAUUUCUACUUAUUUCAUACUUUUGCUAGCAUUUUUAUUAUAUUACUUAAUCUCAGUAGGGCCCUGACCUUCCUCGUCACUACCUGACCGAGGUUAGGCUUGGCACUUACUGAGUACCGAUGUGGUAUCCUCAUGCCUCUUCUCCGUAUGUUUUUCAUGUGCAGACCUAAGUACAUCAUCUCAGACGCACUAUCCUUGAGGCCAGGAGAGCUACGGAGACCUUGAGGCACUUCUGCAGCGUCUGCAGACCCAGGAGUCUCCCUUGUUUACUCUAUCUGUAGUAUCUGGACUUCUUCCGUACUUUUGCUUUAGAUAUUCUGGAGUUAGAGCCAUGUAUUACUUUCUGUUCGCUUGUUUUCCCGUGAGUUUCCGGGUUUAGG
RNAcentral lists this long non-coding RNA (25541 nucleotides) under Nicotiana benthamiana. Its description in RNAcentral is "long non-coding RNA (NBEN_LNC013662)". Lineage: Eukaryota; Viridiplantae; Streptophyta; Magnoliopsida; Solanales; Solanaceae. The record is from RNAcentral.